GAUGAACGCUGGCGGCGUGCCUAAUACAUGCAAGUCGAGCGAACGGACGAGAAGCUUGCUUCUCUGAUGUUAGCGGCGGACGGGUGAGUAACACGUGGAUAACCUACCUAUAAGACUGGGAUAACUUCGGGAAACCGUAGCUAAUACCGGAUAAUAUUUUCAACCGCAUGGUUCAAAAGUGAAAGACGGUCUUGCUAUCACUUAUAGAUGGAUCCGCGCUGCAUUAGCUAGUUGGUAAGGUAACGGCUUACCAAGGCAACGAUGCAUAGCCGACCUGAGAGGGUGAUCGGCCACACUGGAACUGAGACACGGUCCAGACUCCUACGGGAGGCAGCAGUAGGGAAUCUUCCGCAAUGGGCGAAAGCCUGACGGAGCAACGCCGCGUGAGUGAUGAAGGUCUUCGGAUCGUAAAACUCUGUUAUUAGGGAAGAACAUAUGUGUAAGUAACUGUGCACAUCUUGACGGUACCUAAUCAGAAAGACACGGCUAACUACGUG
RNAcentral lists this ribosomal RNA (497 nucleotides) under uncultured bacterium. Its description in RNAcentral is "partial 16S ribosomal RNA". It matches the Rfam family "Bacterial small subunit ribosomal RNA", at positions 28 to 507 of the family's 1533-position model. The record is from RNAcentral.